This 414-nucleotide ribosomal RNA is filed under the name Rhombophryne longicrus. Its description in RNAcentral is "partial 16S ribosomal RNA". It matches the Rfam family "Bacterial large subunit ribosomal RNA", at positions 711 to 1312 of the family's 2925-position model. Lineage: Eukaryota; Metazoa; Chordata; Amphibia; Anura; Microhylidae. The record is from RNAcentral.
CCCCCCGAAACUAGGCGAGCUACUUUACAACAGCCCACAGAGCCAACCCGUCCCUGUUGCAAAAGGGUGGGAAGAUUUUAAAGUAGAGGUGACACACCCAUCGAGCCUAGAGAUAGCUGGUUAUUCAGAAAAAGGAUCUAAGUCCAACUUUAAGUUACCCUUAGUAAUACUAAACACACCCCACAGCUUAAAAGCCAUUCAAGUAGGGUACAGCCUACUUGAACAAGGAUACAACCUACAAUACAGGGUAAUGAUAACACACAUGACCAAGUAGGCCUAAAAGCAGCCAACUUCCAAAAAGCGUCCAAGCUUCUUCACUGCCAAUCUACAAUCCAACUAUUCACACACAACCCACAACCACUACUGAAUGAUUCCAUGCCCACAUGGAAGACACUAUGCUAGAACUAGUAACAA